UGUUCUGUGGCUUAGUUGGUUAAAGCGCCGGUCUAGCGAAUACGGAGUCGUGGGUUCGAAUCCCACCAGAACGU
Molecule: non-coding RNA, 74 nt
Organism: Aedes albopictus (Asian tiger mosquito)
Lineage: Eukaryota; Metazoa; Arthropoda; Insecta; Diptera; Culicidae
Source: Rfam